GCCUUAGUAGCUUAGCCUUAAAGCACCGGCCUUGUAAUCCGGAGAUCGGACAUUAAACAUCCCUACAGGCC
This 71-nucleotide transfer RNA is filed under the name Xenodermichthys copei (bluntnose smooth-head). Its description in RNAcentral is "tRNA-Thr". It matches the Rfam family "tRNA". From Rfam's summary of the family: Transfer RNA (tRNA) molecules are approximately 80 nucleotides in length. Their secondary structure includes four short double-helical elements and three loops (D, anti-codon, and T loops). Lineage: Eukaryota; Metazoa; Chordata; Actinopteri; Alepocephaliformes; Alepocephalidae. The record is from RNAcentral.